GGAGUACGGCCGCAAGGUUAAAACUCAAAGGAAUUGACGGGGACCCGCACAAGCGGUGGAUGAUGUGGAUUAAUUCGAUGCAACGCGAAAAACCUUACCUGGCCUUGACAUGGAUGGAAUCCUUGAGAGAUUGAGGAGUGCCCGAAAGGGAACCAUUACACAGGUGCUGCAUGGCUGUCGUCAGCUCGUGUCGUGAGAUGUUGGGUUAAGUCCCGCAACGAGCGCAACCCUUGUCAUUAGUUGCUACGAAAGGGCACUCUAAUGAGACUGCCGGUGACAAACCGGAGGAAGGUGGGGAUGACGUCAAGUCCUCAUGGCCCUUAUGGGUAGGGCUUCACACGUGCUACAAUGGGCGGUACAAAGGGUUGCCAAGCCGCGAGGUGGAGCUAAUCCCAUAAAACCGUUCGUAGUCCGGAUUGGAGUCUGCAACUCGACUCCAUGAAGUCGGAAUCGCUAGUAAUCGUAAAUCAGAACGUUACGGUGAAUACGUUCCCGGGCCUU
Molecule: ribosomal RNA, 501 nt
Filed under: uncultured bacterium
Lineage: Bacteria
Description: bacterial SSU rRNA
Rfam family: Bacterial small subunit ribosomal RNA
Source: RNAcentral